This is a long non-coding RNA of Dermacentor andersoni, 2818 nucleotides long. RefSeq lists it as uncharacterized. Lineage: Eukaryota; Metazoa; Arthropoda; Arachnida; Ixodida; Ixodidae. The record is from RefSeq and is a predicted model, not a curated record.
GAUACACAAAACCACAAGUGUUAUCUCUGCAAGAGACUCUUGGUAAAGGAUUCCCGAGAGAGAGAAAUACAGAAGGCAGGGCCAUUAACGAGAAAGGUGUCGAAAUUUGGAGCUUGCCGACAUGCGCCUCUUCUGUUGCGGCAGGUUGCUGGCGUCGACGCCCAAGUUCGGUGUCGAGGACCAGCGCGCGCUCGGAACUUCAUCGAAAGCAUCGUCACGGAUCGAACCGGCAGCCGAUAGAGCAUUUCCGAUCACUACCAACGCCAAGCCGUUCAGGAACGAAUCUACGGGGACUGUCAUCAAAUCACCAUAGUGCAACGAAAAUCGUGUGACACCGACCGCCCUUAUUUAAUCGAGCGACACGUUGGCUACGUGGGAUUUGGAGCCGGCAGCCUUGCUGACAUGCAGCUUACGUCUCUUCUGUUGCUGCAGGUGCCCUCCCGGAUGACUGAAAAAUUGCACAUGUCGUCCCCAUUCAUAAAGGGAGGAGGUUGAACACUGGAGAUAGGCCAUCGGGUUCUGGACCCGAGCCACCACGGCUUCGACCAUCCGGAGCUCCCAGUCGUGGGCAUGCUUUUGCCCUCCUGUGACUCUCGACUUCGUCUGGCCAUGGACUCCCAUUCUGAGGCCUGUGCAUGACUGCGCCUGUAGGCGAAACCUUGAGCAGUCAGGCCAGAGGUCGCGCCUGGCCAGGACGUCCCCUUCCUCUGCCGCUUCAUGUCCUCGAGGUUUCAGCUGCGGCGCCUGCUUCCUCUCGGUCAGCCGAGAGUUAAUGACUACUACUACGCUUCAGCCAGCAUCGACUCUCCACUAAACCACAUCACUGCUUUGGGGAGAUCCUCACCGGUUCCCACAUCGCCACGUCCAUUGUACAACGUUGAAAGGGAUUGUUUGAGAGAACUGCAUGCUACUAUGCCACUUGGUUUCGCAACAGUUCUUCUUCUGUAGCGCUCUGAUAAUGUCCAACGUAUCAUAAUGUUAACUACUUCCCUUUUGUUGUGUGUAUUAAAUGUUGUGCGUGCCAGUGUUAAAAAACUGCUUUGUCCUUAACUGUGUGCUCUGAGAUUCUGCCUCUGUAACCAGCUGCUAAAUCUAAGAACCUGCAUCACAAUGAGGCAGUGCAUAUUGUGUCCCUUGUUGCCAGAACGAUUUUCUACCUCUCAGUCCUAACGAGAUCAUUGACAGUGCGAUUGCUGGCAGUGAUGUAUCAUGCGGUAUCGCACGUCACUGACACUAAAUGUUCCAAAACUUAACGGGAUGGGACUGCCAAUAAAAAAAAAUGACAGAGAAAGAAACGGGCACAGUAACCAUGUUGCUCCUGGUUCGCUACUGCUACUAUGCAAUAGUGUAGCGGGACGUCAAAAUCAUUUACGAAGCGAACGACGUCGGUCCUUUUAGAGAGGGAGUGCUCUUGCCUGUCCCACGGUGACAACAGUGACAGUGCCCGGAAUGAAACGGAAGGAGCAGCCCGGCGUUAGUUAUGUUCAGGCCUGUCGUUGCCUAGCGCAGCCAUCGGCGCAGAUAGACCAUGUGGCUUUAUAUAGGAAACGCCAAAUCAGACGCCACUGCCAAGGAUUCCCACUUUGUGCAAUCCGCUACAUAGUUGCCGUUUUCCCGUGAGGACAUCGAAGGUGCCGUCUAGACUAUCGCAUAACCAAAGCAAGUUGCUUGUUGGACCAACCCUGAUCGUCGGUACGCCCUCUUCGGCAUUGACCCGCAGUACACCUACGACGUCCCCCUGGGGGACAGUUAAAACACGAUGAGGGCGUGGGUCAUUGAUUGACACUUCGUGUAGCCUUCCCCAAUACUUUUUGUUGGACAACUCAUUUCGCAGCUGCACACCGAGUUCAAGCUUCCUGGUUUUAAUGAGCACGUGCUAUGUCACACCAGCGCUGUACCAACAUGCGGAUAGCAGCGAAUAAGACUUAAUUAAAUACACGAGGAAGAAUACAGACUAGCAAUCUCGUAGGGCCUCGAGACAGGAAUAGGGACGCAGUUCGAAAUAAUACGACCCUGCUGUAAUACUUACGCCAGUCAAGAGUUAUAGACAUCCUGUGACUGUUCUUCAGUGAUUUGGCAAUCUGGGAACUUGUUAGGUAUCUCUAACUUAAUUUUUUUUCUUUUCUUUUUCAGGACUUAGAUAUUCUUUGACCUUUUUUCAGUGGCUUUGGAACCUGGGAUAUUGUUUGAUAUUUCUACCGUAUUUUCGUACUUUUUAUUUUAUUUUUUUGCUUGUGUUGAUUUUCUGGUCCCCUUCAUGUCAACUCAAACACCUCACUAUAAGCAGCAAGCCCUGCGUACAGCAGGGCUGUCAUUCUCAGUUACCACUCUCUCCAUGUUGCAGAGAACGAGUACAGCGUGCCACUGUGCUUGGCAGCCAACGAUAGCAAACGUGCGUGUGAACCAAAAGUCGGCCUCACUUGGACCGGAACAGUCGCGCUUGGCUGGAUUCUGUGGGCGCGUGCUGUGGUAUAUAGUGGCCUAUGUAAGGCUCCGCCGGGAGCAAAUGACCUUGGCGUAACAAUGAGGCACGGACGGCAUACACGGCGUCAACAUAUACGUCUAGCUGUCGUAGCUUCAGUGCAUGGAGAACUAAUUACGCAAGCAGCAAAUCGAAUGUCAUGUUACAAAACAGGCCCAUGUGAAGCCUGGCAUCGAGCCAGCAACCUCGUUAGCACACGUAGUGUUAAGCGGGGGACUGUAUGCGCGUGCCCGUGCACUGCUCUGGACAGACAUUAUGGUGCACUCUCAGAAGCGCAUCCGGGCGAAUUUUCAUUGAAUCCGAGGAGCACAUUUCGCGAUCGAAGUUUACUGCAUA